UUAUUUUUUUCCCUUUGGUGUGGUUUGGUUUUUUUUUCCUUUAGCCUCAAUACAGGCAAGGUCCUUCUCAAACAUGAAAGAAGGCUCUGUCUGAGAAAUUCAUUAGCCAAAUUAGAGAUAAAAUAAUGAGGGGGUGAGAAGGAGGCAGCAAGGGAUGGGGGUGGGAGGGCAAAUGUGGACAAGGAUAGCAGGAGAGAGUUCUCUGCUAGGGUAGCUGAUUAAAACAAUGGUACAGUACCUUGACUAAUGUGAAGCUAAUUAAAACUGUAUAGGACAAAGCACUUCUAAAUAUACUAUAGGGAUCAAUCUUGCUAUGGCAAAUCCAUCCCCAGUGAAAUUUCAUUGACUUCAAUGGGUUUUCUUCUGGGAUGAAUUUGGACUGAUAACUUAAUAAUUCUUUUCUGUCUUUAAUUUCUAAGGACUUUUUGUCAGAAGCACGGCAAGGAACUUCAGUUUGGCUUUCAAAAGUGCUGAACACCCAAAACUCCUACCAAGGCUUCCUGGAAUUACAGGAGAUGACCUGUGCAAAUUGCAUCCAAGUGCCCAGUGAUUGACCUACAAAGGGGUGCAAUGUUUAGAAAAGUGGG
Junco hyemalis (dark-eyed junco) is the source of this 587-nucleotide long non-coding RNA. NCBI's taxonomy places the organism in Eukaryota, Metazoa, Chordata, Aves, Passeriformes, Passerellidae. The record is from Ensembl.